AAAUUGAAGAGUUUGAUCAUGGCUCAGAUUGAACGCUGGCGGCAGGCCUAACACAUGCAAGUCGAACGGUAACAGGAAGCAGCUUGCUGCUUCGCUGACGAGUGGCGGACGGGUGAGUAAUGUCUGGGAAACUGCCUGAUGGAGGGGGAUAACUACUGGAAACGGUGGCUAAUACCGCAUAACGUCGCAAGACCAAAGAGGGGGACCUUCGGGCCUCUUGCCAUCAGAUGUGCCCAGAUGGGAUUAGCUUGUUGGUGAGGUAACGGCUCACCAAGGCGACGAUCCCUAGCUGGUCUGAGAGGAUGACCAGCCACACUGGAACUGAGACACGGUCCAGACUCCUACGGGAGGCAGCAGUGGGGAAUAUUGCACAAUGGGCGCAAGCCUGAUGCAGCCAUGCCGCGUGUAUGAAGAAGGCCUUCGGGUUGUAAAGUACUUUCAGCGGGGAGGAAGGUGUUGUGGUUAAUAACCACAGCAAUUGACGUUACCCGCAGAAGAAGCACCGGCUAACUCCGUGCCAGCAGCCGCGGUAAUACGGAGGGUGCAAGCGUUAAUCGGAAUUACUGGGCGUAAAGCGCACGCAGGCGGUCUGUCAAGUCGGAUGUGAAAUCCCCGGGCUCAACCUGGGAACUGCAUUCGAAACUGGCAGGCUUGAGUCUUGUAGAGGGGGGUAGAAUUCCAGGUGUAGCGGUGAAAUGCGUAGAGAUCGGGAGGAAUACCGGUGGCGAAGGCGGCCCCCUGGACAAAGACUGACGCUCAGGUGCGAAAGCGUGGGGAGCAAACAGGAUUAGAUACCCUGGUAGUCCACGCCGUAAACGAUGUCUACUUGGAGGUUGUGCCCUUGAGGCGUGGCUUCCGGAGCUAACGCGUUAAGUAGACCGCCUGGGGAGUACGGCCGCAAGGUUAAAACUCAAAUGAAUUGACGGGGGCCCGCACAAGCGGUGGAGCAUGUGGUUUAAUUCGAUGCAACGCGAAGAACCUUACCUGGUCUUGACAUCCACAGAACUUUCCAGAGAUGGAUUGGUGCCUUCGGGAACUGUGAGACAGGUGCUGCAUGGCUGUCGUCAGCUCGUGUUGUGAAAUGUUGGGUUAAGUCCCGCAACGAGCGCAACCCUUAUCCUUUGUUGCCAGCGAUUAGGUCGGGAACUCAAAGGAGACUGCCAGUGAUAAACUGGAGGAAGGUGGGGAUGACGUCAAGUCAUCAUGGCCCUUACGACCAGGGCUACACACGUGCUACAAUGGCGCAUACAAAGAGAAGCGACCUCGCGAGAGCAAGCGGACCUCAUAAAGUGCGUCGUAGUCCGGAUUGGAGUCUGCAACUCGACUCCAUGAAGUCGGAAUCGCUAGUAAUCGUGGAUCAGAAUGCCACGGUGAAUACGUUCCCGGGCCUUGUACACACCGCCCGUCACACCAUGGGAGUGGGUUGCAAAAGAAGUAGGUAGCUUAACCUUCGGGAGGGCGCUUACCACUUUGUGAUUCAUGACUGGGGUGAAGUCGUAACAAGGUAACCGUAGGGGAACCUGCGGUUGGAUCACCUCCUUACCUUAAAGAA
This 1552-nucleotide ribosomal RNA is filed under the name Salmonella enterica subsp. enterica serovar Heidelberg str. 41578. Its description in RNAcentral is "bacterial SSU rRNA". It matches the Rfam family "Bacterial small subunit ribosomal RNA". The record is from RNAcentral. Lineage: Bacteria; Pseudomonadati; Pseudomonadota; Gammaproteobacteria; Enterobacterales; Enterobacteriaceae.